GCUUUCGUGGCUCAGUUGGUUAGAGCGUUGGUCUCAUAACAAAUGUUGUGAUUUGAUUCCAGAUCAGAGUAAUCCAAAGGUCGAGAGUUCGAGCCUCUCCGAGAGCA
Non-coding RNA from Fusarium tricinctum, 107 nucleotides. The record is from the annotation of a GenBank genome assembly. NCBI's taxonomy places the organism in Eukaryota, Fungi, Ascomycota, Sordariomycetes, Hypocreales, Nectriaceae.